RNAcentral lists this ribosomal RNA (424 nucleotides) under uncultured bacterium. RNAcentral describes it as "bacterial SSU rRNA". It matches the Rfam family "Bacterial small subunit ribosomal RNA", at positions 355 to 772 of the family's 1533-position model. The record is from RNAcentral.
UCGAGAAUUUUUCACAAUGGGCGAAAGCCUGAUGGAGCGACGCCGCGUGGGGGAUGAAUGGCUUCGGCCCGUAAACCCCUGUCAUUUGCGAACAAACCUUUCCGGUUAACACCCGGAGAGCUGAUUGUAGCGGAAGAGGAAGGGACGGCUAACUCUGUGCCAGCAGCCGCGGUAAUACAGAGGUCCCGAGCGUUGUUCGGAUUCACUGGGCGUAAAGGGUGCGUAGGUGGUGAGGUAAGUCGGAUGUGAAAUCUCCGGGCUCAACCCGGAAAUGGCAUUGGAAACUACCUUGCUUGAGGAUUUGAGGGGGGAUUGGAAUACUUGGUGUAGCAGUGAAAUGCGUAGAUAUCAAGUGGAACACCAGUGGCGAAGGCGAAUCCCUGGAAAAUACCUGACACUGAGGCACGAAAGCUAGGGGAGCAAA